CACCGGCAGCCCAAGUGAUGGCCGAUAUUAUUGGGCCUAAAGCGUCCGUAGCUGGCCGGGCAAGUCCGUCGGGAAAUCCACGCGCUUAACGCGUGGGCGUCCGGCGGAAACUGUUCGGCUUGGGACCGGAAGAUCCGAGGGGUACGUCCGGGGUAGGAGUGAAAUCCCGUAAUCCUGGACGGACCACCGAUGGCGAAAGCACCUCGGAAGGACGGAUCCGACAGUGAGGGACGAAAGCUAGGGUCUCGAA
RNAcentral lists this ribosomal RNA (250 nucleotides) under uncultured Halobacteria archaeon. Its description in RNAcentral is "partial 16S ribosomal RNA". It matches the Rfam family "Archaeal small subunit ribosomal RNA", at positions 474 to 723 of the family's 1478-position model. The record is from RNAcentral. Lineage: Archaea; Methanobacteriati; Methanobacteriota; Halobacteria.